Molecule: long non-coding RNA, 2090 nt
Organism: Branchiostoma floridae (Florida lancelet)
Lineage: Eukaryota; Metazoa; Chordata; Leptocardii; Amphioxiformes; Branchiostomatidae
Exons: 2
Source: RefSeq, a predicted model, not a curated record
AGUGACACGGGGGACAAUCUACGUCAUAGGUUGCAAAGACGUUUUCGACCGUCCGGAGGGACAAUUUCGAUGGUCGCGGAGAUUGAUUCGACGGUUGCAAAGGCAAAUUCGACAGUUACACAGAAAAAUUCGACGGUUACACAGACAAAUUCGACGGUUACACAGAAAAAUUCGACGGUUACACAGAAAAAUUCGACGGUUACACGAAAAAAUUCGACGGUUACACAGACAAAUUCGGUUUGCGGAGACAAAUUCGACGGUCGGGGAGAAAACUCCGGUACUGAAGGGCCGUCCAGUGAGCGUUUUGCGAGAAAUGCCUCGUCGGCUCAGAUUAACUCUCUAUCCCCGCAAGGGUGGUAGAGGCAAAGUGAAAACAAAGCUAAAGGCCAAAGUUCAAGGUGCCCCUGCAUCUGAUGGGGCUGAAUGGCAUACAGAUGAAGAAGAUGCCAUGUUUCAAGAUCUAGGCAAGGAGUCCUCUUUGCCAGGGAGAAAAGAGAUGCAGAUCUGUGUCAUCUGCUCCGAGAAGGAUAUUAAAAUGGGGUAAGAACCGUCCUUAUGAAGAGGGUAGUAGGAAAACAUACAGCAAACCUCAAAGUACUUUGUAGAUGAAUGGCAAACAGAUGAAGAAGAAUACACCACCUUUGAGGAAAACAGUGCAAGUCCAUUUCAGGCAUUUGCUGCAAAAGGAACACAUGGAGUUUGACAGCAUCAUCGUAUUGAUGACAGCAAGAUGCUACCAUCAACAAGAGCUGGAAUCGAAAUUUAGGACCUGAUAUCCAUACUACUGUUUAUUUUUUCUUUUCCUAUGGUGUUUUACUCUGAGUGUUAUCACUUAGCAAUGUGCAGUAUAACUGGAAUGUUUGAAUAGUUUCAUUUGCUGUGGAACUUCAGAGCUUAUAUCUCAAAUCUUUGUAGAAUGGAAUGAAUAUCUGAAAUUUUAUGUGAUGUAAGUAACUUAGAAAUGUAUCAUCAUUCUAAUAACGAAAUCAAAAGGACAUAUUUCUUAAGCCCCUUCGUUAUCGUAAAUGAUUUGCAUUUUAUUUGGUUACAAGGCUAUGUUAUUAGGAAGGAUUCUGUGUUUAGAUACCAAUUACAUGUACACUCAUUACCAACUAAGGAAUAGACCAGUCUUACUACCUUUCCUUGUGCUGAUCAUCUGACAUUCCCUCAGGAAUUUAAUAGAACAAUACAAAACAAUGUUAUUGAUCACAAAAUUUAUUCUGUUUCGUUACAAAUUCUGUGUUUUCCUGAGUAGGUUUUGUUAAACUCAAUUGUUUUCCUGAGUAGGGUUGAUUGCAAAAUACAAAUCCACUGCAUUUGAAGAUUUAGUGGUAUACUCUACAAUGUCAUGUGCAGUGACAACUUUAGGUCUGUUUCCUUAUAAUUGUCACAUUGUAAAUACAAAUGGUAAACCUUAUAUAUGUAAAAACAUUAAAAACUGUUGCUUUGGAGAACAAGAAAUACCAGCUCAAACACAAGUUACAUGUCCAACAACCCUAAUAUAUACUUUGAAAACAGCAACAAAUGACAGUGCCCCCUCUUUUACAGCAUUGUAAUGGUAAGGCAGUAUUUCUCAUAGCAUCGAUUAGUAUGUGAUAUGAAUGUGAGGAUAAUUUAAACUGCAGAAAUCAUAGUGUACUGACAUUGAAAGCCUUUUUCUGUUUUCCUGAGUAGGUUUGGUUAAACUCCACCAGUACUGUUAUUCGGAGUACGGUUGAUUACAAAUCCACUGCAUUUGAAGAUUUAGUGGUAUCCUGUACAUGUACAGUGGACAUCUAUAGGGUCUGUUUCCCUAUUUGUCGCAAUGUAAAUACAAAUGGUAAACCUUACAACAGAAGUUACAUGUCUAACAACCCUAUAUACUAAAGCAACAAGAAAUGCCCACUAUUUUGCAUAAUUGUAAUGCAGUCACAUGUAUUUAUAUCAUAGCAUGAUGCCAAUGGUAAUAUGUGAUAUGAAUGUUUGGAUAAUUUAAACUGCAGAAUGAUACUGUACUAACAGUGAAAGCCUUUUUCCAUUUUUCUUUUAGUGGGCAUGAAGUUAUAUGUUUGAUAAUGUUCCAGAAUAAAGUCAGUGUUCAACUGUAUGAA